AUUGAACGCUGGCGGCAUGCUUUACACAUGCAAGUCGAACGGCAGCGCGGGCUUCGGCCUGGCGGCGAGUGGCGAACGGGUGAGUAAUACAUUGGAACGUGCCCAGUAGUGGGGGAUAGCUCGGCGAAAGCCGGAUUAAUACCGCAUACGACCUGAGGGUGAAAGCGGGGGAUCUUCGGACCUCGCGCUAUUGGAGCGGCCGAUGGCAGAUUAGCUAGUUGGUGGGGUAAAGGCCUACCAAGGCGACGAUCUGUAGCUGGUCUGAGAGGACGACCAGCCACACUGGGACUGAGACACGGCCCAGACUCCUACGGGAGGCAGCAGUGGGGAAUUUUGGACAAAGGGCGAAAGCCUGAUCCAGCAAUGCCGCGUGUGUGAUGAAGGCCUUCGGGUUGUAAAGCACUUUUGGCGGGAACGAAAAGGACUGUGCCAAUACCACGGUUCGAUGACGGUACCCGCAGAAUAAGCACCGGCUAACUACGUG
This 484-nucleotide ribosomal RNA is filed under the name uncultured bacterium. RNAcentral describes it as "partial 16S ribosomal RNA". It matches the Rfam family "Bacterial small subunit ribosomal RNA", at positions 29 to 507 of the family's 1533-position model. The record is from RNAcentral.